Molecule: long non-coding RNA, 3141 nt
Organism: Cyprinus carpio carpio
Lineage: Eukaryota; Metazoa; Chordata; Actinopteri; Cypriniformes; Cyprinidae
Source: Ensembl
CAGAGAGAUGGAGCACACGGUGAUGCAAAACACAAGCAAUUCUGGUCAAAAGCAUCUUGAAUAAAAAGAGCAACAGCCCAACAAAUGUCUAAGAAGUUGGUGUAACCUAAUGCAGUCAACAAGGUUUAAUCAGAUAAGAUCAGAUGUUUCUGAUGUAGGUCCAACAGAAUUAUUGCUGUUGUUGCUGUCAGAUAAAAUGCCAAAAAUAUAAAUAUAAAUUAUGUUAUAAGUAACAGUUUUAUAUUUAAUGUGUAAUAACAUAAAACACUUUUUCCCUAGUGUAAAGAAAAACAAACAGCACAUACAUUUGUCAUUUCUGGUGUUUAAUUCUGGUAAGAGAAAAAUCACUCAGUGUUGGUAAUGUUUAUGUAAACAUCUUUAUAUAUGCAAAUAAUAGUAUCAUGAGAAAACAAAAUUAAAAAAAUUUAAGAAAGCAAUUCAAACCGGAUUUUGGCCUUAUUAAAUUUAAAAGGAAAGUGUGAUGCCUUUUCAUGUAAUCCCAAUAUUCUUCUUGUUUGAGCAUGUAGAUUUGAGUAGUACUGUAGCUCUGUAUGUUUAUGCAAAUCUCCUGUUGCAUAUUUAAAUAGCAGGCAUGAGUCAGUUUAUACAAUCAUCUGAUCACUAGAGGGAAUGAAGAAUCACUUCAGUUCAUUCAAACUGUGCUGUGAAACAAACCAUGAUCUCUUCAUCUUUAGUGUUGCUUCUGGCAGUGGUAUCCUGUAUUGAUUCAUAUGAACUCACUCAGCCUGAGUCUCUGACUGUCCGUCCUGAUGCCACUCUGACUAUCAACUCUAAAGUCUCCUAUUCAGUUACAAGCUACGUUACAGCCUGGGUUGUACCUCAGACUUAAAGGCUUCAGCCACUGGACUAAAUGCCUCAGACUGAAAGGCUUUCAGGAAAAACAACGUCAUGUGUCAGGUCUUGUACAAUAACGCAUCGGAUGAAAUGGCCUCAGACAAAAAGACAUCUUUGAAGACUUUGCUUGCUGUAGUAUAAUUUUGGUCAAAAAGUGGAUACCACUUAAGAGAUACAAUGGAUACCACAGAAUAGAUAUAAUUGCUGAUAAGGUCAUGAUUGAAUUAUUUAUUUGUUGAUGCAUUCUCAUUCUCAUUCUGACUUACCAAAGUAAUUUAUUAGUUUAUUAUUUAUUGAAUUUAUUCAAAAAUUUAAAUAAUAGAAAUUACUAUUAUUAAAGCAACAGACAUAUAUGUCUACUAAAAACAACAACAACACACACACACACACACACACACACACACACACACACACACACACACACACACACACACACACACACACACACACACACACACAUUUAUUGAUGUGUAACCCUCAGGAAACAGCUGCGUUUGGUUAUUGCCUCUUAAAAAAUACUGUAAGUGAAUAUGCAUGUAUAAUUUCGUAAGACUUAUGUCAAUUUUAUAAAGCAUAUAGAAACCACUAAAAUACAUUUCGUUAACAUUUUUUUGCACCAAAAUUACAAUCUGUUGUGUCUUUAGCAAGCAUUUAGAUAAACUUAAUCAGCCACCCUUUACACACACCUUGUUACAUUAGCUAAAAGUCCAAUGACCAUAAAGAUACUAAAUGAUUAGUAAUCGUUUAUAAACAUUUACAAAUGAUAAAUAGUUUCCACUUUAGAUUGGAUACAGCAAAAACAUGAACAAAUAACAAAUAGAUUAUUUGUUAAGAUGUGUAAAUAGAGGUCUACACAACAAACAAAGGCCAACAAAUGAAGAUUAUAUGAACUGAAAGUUUACUGACAUUUGUAAGCAUUUCAAUUUACAUUAAACAAUCAUAUGUUAAUCAUUAGGUAAUGUUUAGUAAGUUCAUUAGUAAAUUAACAAGAAUAUUAUCUCAUAUUUCCAGCUAUGUGAAUAUAUAUUAACUAAUGAUCUGUUAUGCAUUAUAUAAUGUUUGUUAAUGUUAAUAUUAAUGAUUUAUAAAGUGUUAUUAGUAAUUACUAUUGAAGCAACAGACAUAUAUGGAGAAAAGAGAAUGUCUACAAAAAAAACAAAUAAAAAAAAACACACAUUUACUGAUGUGUGACCCUCAGGAAACACCUGCGUUUGGUUAUUGCCUCUUAAAAAAUAAGUGAAUAUGCAUGUAUAGUUUUGCAAGACUUAUGUAAAUUUUAUAAAGCAUAUAGAAACCACUAAAAUACUUUCUGUUAAAGCUAAUAACAUGCUUAUUCAAACAUAAAUAGAAGACAAUGCAAUCAAGAAACUGUUAACGUCUUCUCAGCAAGUGAUAUCAGAAGCAAAUUAUGUGACGCUGAUGAUUGUAAUUUAAUUUAAGAAAAGUUUCUAAUCCAAAUACUGCUAAGCAAACUAAACAUAUGAUAUUAUUAUGACAUUUCAAUAAAACCGAGAUGAUCAUUUGCACCUCACAGUAUCACUUGUAUUUCAGUCCUCACCCUUUCCAUCUUCUUCGACUGUAUGAGGGUCUGUGAUCGUUUUUAUGUUGCCUCCAGAUGGAUAAGAGUUGUGUCUUCCUUUGAUCAGAAUUUUGGGGUUUUGAUUUUUGCCUUUCAAUGUCAAAAGACAGUUCAAAAGAUGAAAAAGAAGUGUCAGGGGAACUUGCUGAGCUGAGGAAAGCCCAGAUAAAUUCUGGGAGAUAACACCAUUAUUGAAGAUUCCACCAGAAUAGAAGCAUAUGAACACAGUUAGAGCAACACUGGUCACAAUCACAGCUGCUGUGUUGGUCCUACAUGCACUUCGGCUGUAGGUCUGAGCUUCCAGCAUGUUCUGAGCUUCCCUCAUUCAUCUUGCUUCUCGCCUUAAAACAAUAGAGAAAAAACUUGGUAAAACUGAGUAAGUUUGAGUAUAGACUAACAUGUUCUAGAAAGAAACGGUUACCACAUUUACCUUUAACGAACAUUUCAAUGCAGCAAACCCCAGAAUCAAACAAUUGCAAAACAUGAUGUUGAACAGAGAGCAGCACAUGUGGUCUUUUCCUUUUAGUUUCACCCUCACAUAGAUGACUUCAGGUGAAACCCCUCCAUUAUAUGACUCUGAGAAAUUGUUAAUUUCAACUGCCACAGAUUCCCUGGCAGAAUCCUGAUGGGAAUCUCAUAUAUGUGUUGACGUUCCAUCAUGUUCAUAAAAAUUAAUCAACAAGGAGUCAUUCAUAAGCUGCUGCUUC